Prunus persica (peach) is the source of this 1371-nucleotide long non-coding RNA. RefSeq lists it as uncharacterized. NCBI's taxonomy places the organism in Eukaryota, Viridiplantae, Streptophyta, Magnoliopsida, Rosales, Rosaceae. The transcript is spliced from 3 exons. The record is from RefSeq and is a predicted model, not a curated record.
AUGUCCUGAAUGGAUGUCCACGUAUCGAUGGUGACACUUACCCUUUGAUCACUUAUCACACUCAUGAUCUUAGCCUUUUUGAUGAAGAACAUAUCCCACACACCAACAACUACCUUCUUUCCAUAAUGACAUACUUCACACAAUUCAAUUCACUCCUUUUUUUAUUAAAUGUGUCAGGGACCAAUCCCCCACCCAUUGUUUUAGUUCUUAAGGCAGUUUGGCUACCACCAUCUUUUGUAAAAAGUGGAGAACCCUUUCAUCUCAACUUUAAGUGGUUUUUUAAACCAAUUGUCUCAUUUUUCUUAGAAUAGGUCAGCAACUCUACUUUACAAUAAUUGCAAACCCCAAUGACCCUCUCUACCACAUUAGCAUCUUUUUUUUCCUUUUCUAUUUUGUAAAGCGAUCCUACACUAUAGAUUUAGAGGAUUUCCUCUUAUCUCCCAUAACAGAAGGUGUAGAAUCUACUUGUUGGUCUUGUGUUUGGGUUGAAUAGAAGGUGGUGGACACAUUCAUGUAGAGGCAUUCAGGGCAUGUUUGGUUGGCCUCAUUAGCUUGGACUAUGCUAAAUAAGAUUUGAAGCCCAUGUUUGGUAAGAUGAAGGACUAAGUUAAAUGGGAUUGUAGAGUCCAAUAGUAAAAAAAACCUCCUCACUCGCUCUCCUUAUACAGAGAGCCUGAAACUGCCUUCGCAAAAUAAGCCAUUCGCUAAAUUGAAACAGCGAAUCCAGAUAUCUCUUGUUCGCGACUUCGGCUCUCUCUCCUUCGCUACUCCACAUUUCCUUCACACAAAGCCAAGAUUCUGAUUCAUGUGCUCUACGCUUUGUUCUUCGUCUCAGAGCUUCGAUUUUCAAGAUUUCUAGUUCUAUUUCUUGUUUCUUAUUCUUAUGAUCAUUCGAAUCAAAGUUGAAGUUUCGUUCUCUGUCCUAGAUUUGCAAUUGUGUGGUUGGUGAGAUUUUUGCUUGAGGACGUUUAUUCUCAUUGGAUUUUCAGUUGAGCUGAGGCCCCUUCUUCUGUCCUUUCGUGGCCAUAAGCGGCGCAUAGGCAAAACUAGCAGAUGCUAUGGACGUCCUACAAGAAGCAUUGCUUUAUGUGUUUAGUUCAAUCUAAUAGGAUUUUUUAUGUAGCUAGUUAAGCUGUAGUAUCGUCAUUGACUUGAGGACCUGGCCUAGCUAAAUUUGAUGCAUCUAUCUUUUUGGAAACACCACAAAUGAUGGAUUAAUGAGAUUGACUUCAUUUUGGAAACACCACAAAAUGGUAUAACAUAUUGCGAGCAUUAAAGCUAGAUGGUUUAUGGUUAUGGGGCUUCUUAGUUUCAUUUUGAAAUUGUGGAUGUUUAUUUGUAUGUAUUAAUGGUAGAAUUGUGUGCAGUGAA